AUGGUGCAGUGGCGGUUCAGGGCCACUCCGGUAACGGGUGGCCUUAGGAAACUCUCCAGGCACACGGGUCUCCCUGGGGUUAAUUCACCCAGGGGGACUUAGGCCUGUACUGGGUCAAUGAGCUCCGUGCGGCGAGACCCAGGUUGGGCUCCAGGUGGAUGCCGACAGAAGGGGAGUUAUACUGCACCAU
This 190-nucleotide RNase P RNA is filed under the name Caldivirga maquilingensis IC-167. Its description in RNAcentral is "RNaseP truncated form". It matches the Rfam family "RNaseP truncated form". Lineage: Archaea; Thermoproteati; Thermoproteota; Thermoprotei; Thermoproteales; Thermoproteaceae. The record is from Rfam by way of RNAcentral.